RNAcentral lists this long non-coding RNA (433 nucleotides) under Glycine max (soybean). RNAcentral describes it as "long non-coding RNA (GMAX_LNC004211)". The record is from RNAcentral. Lineage: Eukaryota; Viridiplantae; Streptophyta; Magnoliopsida; Fabales; Fabaceae.
CCAAUUGAGUGGCUGACAUUUUAGCUAAUAUCGGGGUGUUUGUGCUAUACCUUCGGAUGCCUUUCAGUCCUUGAUGUUUAUGGACUCCCAAGGGUGAUCCCUUUCUGUUUUGUUUUCAACUUCGCACUAAUCAAAAGAAUCAUUCUAACAUCUAUAUAAGAACAUUGCACACAAAAAAACACAGAGCAUAAACAAAGCCACAACCAAAAAAAUCAUAGAACUCACAUAGAACGUACAUAACAAAUUAACCCUAAAAUCAAAACCUAACCUUCAAGGAUAGUAUCCCGUACCCAUCUGCUCCCUAACGUGUCCUCGUGAUGGAAAGAAAAUCCUAGUGGAUUACCCAUCUGCUUCGAACCUGAAGAGGUCUUCUAUGUUGGUUCUUGGUCAUUUGUUUCUCAAGUCUUAAAAGUAGGUUUGUGAUCAGAUUUCA